Molecule: ribosomal RNA, 473 nt
Filed under: uncultured bacterium
Lineage: Bacteria
Description: bacterial SSU rRNA
Rfam family: Bacterial small subunit ribosomal RNA
Source: RNAcentral
GGGCGAGUUUGAUCAUGGCUCAGAACGAACGCUGGCGGCAGGCCUCAAACAUGCAAGUCUAGGGGGUAGCAAUACCACCGGCGGACGGGUGCGUAACACGUGGGAAUGUACCUUUUGGUUCGGAACAACCCAGGGAAACUUGGGCUAAUACCGAAUGUGCCCUAACGGGGAAAGAUUUAUCGCCAAAGGAUCAGCCCGCGUCCGAUUAGCUAGUUGGUGGGGUAAUGGCCUACCAAGGCAACGAUCGGUAGCUGUUCUGAGAGGAAGAUCAGCCACACUGGGACUGAGACACGGCCCAGACUCCUACGGGAGGCAGCAGUGGGGAAUAUUGGACAAUGGGGGCAACCCUGAUCCAGCAAUGCCGCGUGAGUGAUGAAGGCCUUCGGGUUGUAAAGCUCUUUCGCCCGCGACGAUGAUGACGGUAGCGGGAGAAGAAGCCCCGGCUAACUUCGUGCCAGCAGCCGCGGUAAUAA